UAGUCUAAAUUGCUGUGUGCUCCG
RNAcentral lists this non-coding RNA (24 nucleotides) under Rattus norvegicus (Norway rat). Lineage: Eukaryota; Metazoa; Chordata; Mammalia; Rodentia; Muridae. The record is from RNAcentral.